UUCUGCUUUUGGUGUUGAUGAUAGUUUCUCGAAGGGAGUUACUUGAAAUACUUGAAAUUAUUUAUUUUUAAACUAUUGUAAGUAACUCCCUUCGAGAAACUGUCAUCAUCCCCAAAA
This 117-nucleotide microRNA precursor is filed under the name Megaselia scalaris. RNAcentral's name for it is "microRNA mir-598". The record is from RNAcentral. Lineage: Eukaryota; Metazoa; Arthropoda; Insecta; Diptera; Phoridae.